AGAGAUUGAACAUAAGAGUUUGAUCCUGGCUCAGAUUGAACGCUGGCGGCAUGCUUUACACAUGCAAGUCGGACGGCAGCACAGAGAAGCUUGCUUCUUGGGUGGCGAGUGGCGAACGGGUGAGUAACAUAUCGGAACGUACCGAGUAGUGGGGGAUAACUGAUCGAAAGAUCAGCUAAUACCGCAUACGUCUUGAGAGAGAAAGCAGGGGACCUUCGGGCCUUGCGCUAUUCGAGCGGCCGAUAUCUGAUUAGCUAGUUGGUGGGGUAAAGGCCUACCAAGGCGACGAUCAGUAGCGGGUCUGAGAGGAUGAUCCGCCACACUGGGACUGAGACACGGCCCAGACUCCUACGGGAGGCAGCAGUGGGGAAUUUUGGACAAUGGGCGCAAGCCUGAUCCAGCCAUGCCGCGUGUCUGAAGAAGGCCUUCGGGUUGUAAAGGACUUUUGUCAGGGAAGAAAAGGCUGUUGCUAAUAUCAGCGGCUGAUGACGGUACCUGAAGAAUAAGCACCGGCUAACUACGUGCCAGCAGCCGCGGUAAUACGUAGGGUGCGAGCGUUAAUCGGAAUUACUGGGCGUAAAGCGGGCGCAGACGGUU
This 597-nucleotide ribosomal RNA is filed under the name Neisseria meningitidis. RNAcentral's name for it is "bacterial SSU rRNA". It matches the Rfam family "Bacterial small subunit ribosomal RNA", at positions 1 to 580 of the family's 1533-position model. Lineage: Bacteria; Pseudomonadati; Pseudomonadota; Betaproteobacteria; Neisseriales; Neisseriaceae. The record is from RNAcentral.